This 497-nucleotide ribosomal RNA is filed under the name uncultured bacterium. Its description in RNAcentral is "partial 16S ribosomal RNA". It matches the Rfam family "Bacterial small subunit ribosomal RNA", at positions 28 to 507 of the family's 1533-position model. The record is from RNAcentral.
GACGAACGCUGGCGGCGUGCCUAAUACAUGCAAGUUGAGCGCUGAAGGUUGGUACUUGUUCCAACUGGAUGAGCAGCGAACGGGUGAGUAACGCGUGGGGAAUCUGCCUUUGAGCGGGGGACAACUUUUGGAAACGAAUGCUAAUACCGCAUAACAACUUUAAACACAUGUUUUAAGUUUGAAAGAUGCAAUUGCAUCACUCAAAGAUGAUCCUGCGUUGUAUUAGCUAGUUGGUGAGGUAACGGCUCACCAAGGCGAUGAUACAUAGCCGACCUGAGAGGGUGAUCGGCCACAUUGGGACUGAGACACGGCCCAGACUCCUACGGGAGGCAGCAGUAGGGAAUCUUCGGCAAUGGAGGAAAGUCUGACCGAGCAACGCCGCGUGAGUGAAGAAGGUUGUCGGAUCGUAAAACUCUGUUGGUAGAGAAGAACGUGGGUGAGAGUGGAAAGCUCAUCAAGUGACGGUAACUACCCAGAAAGGGACGGCUAACUACGUG